UAGCGGCAGGCUUAACACAUGCAAGUCGAGGGGUAUAGUAGCAAUACUAGAGACCGGCGCACGGGUGCGUAACGCGUAUGCAAUCUACCUUUUACAGAGGGAUAGCCCAGAGAAAUUUGGAUUAAUACCUCAUAGCAUAGUAGUACCGCAUGGUAGUACUAUUAAAGUCACAACGGUAAAAGAUGAGCAUGCGUCCCAUUAGCUAGUUGGUAAGGUAACGGCUUACCAAGGCUACGAUGGGUAGGGGUCCUGAGAGGGAGAUCCCCCACACUGGUACUGAGACACGGACCAGACUCCUACGGGAGGCAGCAGUGAGGAAUAUUGGACAAUGGGCGCAAGCCUGAUCCAGCCAUGCCGCGUGCAGGAUGACGGUCCUAUGGAUUGUAAACUGCUUUUGCACAGGAAGAAACAACUCUACGUGUAGAGUCUUGACGGUACUGUGAGAAUAAGGAUCGGCUAACUCCGUGCCAGCAGCCGCGGUAAUACGUAGGGGGCAAGCGUUGUCCGAAUUUAUUGGGCGUAAAGAGCUCGUAGGCGGCUUGGCAAGUCGGGUGUGAAAACUCCAGGCUCAACCUGGAGAUGCCACUCGAGACUGCUAUGGCUAGAGUCCGGUAGGGGACCACGGAAUUCCUGGUGUAGCGGUGAAAUGCGCAGAUAUCAGGAGGAACACCGGUGGCGAAGGCGGUGGUCUGGGCCGGCACUGACGCUG
Molecule: ribosomal RNA, 709 nt
Filed under: uncultured soil bacterium
Lineage: Bacteria
Description: bacterial SSU rRNA
Rfam family: Bacterial small subunit ribosomal RNA
Source: RNAcentral